AAUGAACGUUGGCGGCGUGGAUUAGGCAUGCAAGUCGAGCGAGAACCCGCAAGGGGGACAGCGGCAAACGGGGUAGGAAUGAUUGGUGACGUACCCUCGGGACGGGGAUAGCCACGGGAAACUGUGGGUAAUACCCGAUAACCUCCCGGGUUUGAAGACCUGGGUGCAAAGGUGUGAUUCCACCGGAGGAGCGGCCAAUCUGGUAUUAGCUAGUUGGUAGGGUAACGGCCUACCAAGGCUACGAUGCCUAGGGGGUGUGAGAGCAUGGCCCCCACCACUGGGACUGAGAUACUGCCCAGACACCUACGGGUGGCUGCAGUCGAGAAUCUUCGGCAAUGGGCGCAAGCCUGACCGAGCGACGCCGCGUGUGGGAUGAAGGCCCUUGGGUUGUAAACCACUGUCAGAGGGGAUGAAGUGCCAGCCAGCAAUCUGGUUGGUUUGACAUAGCCUCAGAGGAAGCACGGGCUAAGUUCGUGCCAGCCGCCGCGGUAA
Molecule: ribosomal RNA, 492 nt
Filed under: uncultured bacterium
Lineage: Bacteria
Description: partial 16S ribosomal RNA
Rfam family: Bacterial small subunit ribosomal RNA
Source: RNAcentral